ACCCAAAUAAGACGCUGGUAUACUUAGUUUGAUUUCGAAAAAAAUCAAUUUUUGGUGAAAAAAUUCGAUACGGGGGGGUAUACCCGAAAAAUGAAAAAACCCAAACUUUGAAGGUCGAUAUCUCGGCUUCUAUGGGAGCUAUCGGAAAAAUUCCAACGGUUUUGUCUUAGUUUCGUCAUUCUGAAUCCAACGAGACCAUCCGCAAGGUCGUAGCUCUUACGAUAGCCGAGAUAUGGCAUUUUUGAUGCCCAUUUUUGGCCUCAAAAACGGACGUCGAAAACGACUUUUUCAGGAUUUUCAAAGUGCUCUCAUUCCCUUAGUUCUGCUCGAAUCCUGUUAUAACCCGGUGUUUUCGUAAUCUAGGUGACCCAAAUAAGACGCUGGUAUACUUAGUUUGAUUUCGAAAAAAAUCAAUUUUUGGUGAAAAAAUUCGAUACGGGGGGGUAUACCCGAAAAAUGAAAAAACCCAAACUUUGAAGGUCGAUAUCUCGGCUUCUAUGGGAGCUAUCGGAAAAAUUCCAACGGUUUUGUCUUAGUUUCGUCAUUCUGAAUCCAACGAGACCAUCCGCAAGGUCGUAGCUCUUACGAUAGCCGAGAUAUGGCAUUUUUGAUGCCCAUUUUUGGCCUCAAAAACGGACGUCGAAAACGACUUUUUCAGGAUUUUCAAAGUGCUCUCAUUCCCUUAGUUCUGCUCGAAUCCUGUUAUAACCCGGUGUUUUCGUAAUCUAGGUGACCCAAAUAAGACGCUGGUAUACUUAGUUUGAUUUCGAAAAAAAUCAAUUUUUGGUGAAAAAAUUCGAUACGGGGGGGUAUACCCGAAAAAUGAAAAAACCCAAACUUUGAAGGUCGAUAUCUCGGCUUCUAUGGGAGCUAUCGGAAAAAUUCCAACGGUUUUGUCUUAGUUUCGUCAUUCUGAAUCCAACGAGACCAUCCGCAAGGUCGUAGCUCUUACGAUAGCCGAGAUAUGGCAUUUUUGAUGCCCAUUUUUGGCCUCAAAAACGGACGUCGAAAACGACUUUUUCAGGAUUUUCAAAGUGCUCUCAUUCCCUUAGUUCUGCUCGAAUCCUGUUAUAACCCGGUGUUUUCGUAAUCUAGGUGACCCAAAUAAGACGCUGGUAUACUUAGUUUGAUUUCGAAAAAAAUCAAUUUUUGGUGAAAAAAUUCGAUACGGGGGGGUAUACCCGAAAAAUGAAAAAACCCAAACUUUGAAGGUCGAUAUCUCGGCUUCUAUGGGAGCUAUCGGAAAAAUUCCAACGGUUUUGUCUUAGUUUCGUCAUUCUGAAUCCAACGAGACCAUCCGCAAGGUCGUAGCUCUUACGAUAGCCGAGAUAUGGCAUUUUUGAUGCCCAUUUUUGGCCUCAAAAACGGACGUCGAAAACGACUUUUUCAGGAUUUUCAAAGUGCUCUCAUUCCCUUAGUUCUGCUCGAAUCCUGUUAUAACCCGGUGUUUUCGUAAUCUAGGUGACCCAAAUAAGACGCUGGUAUACUUAGUUUGAUUUCGAAAAAAAUCAAUUUUUGGUGAAAAAAUUCGAUACGGGGGGGUAUACCCGAAAAAUGAAAAAACCCAAACUUUGAAGGUCGAUAUCUCGGCUUCUAUGGGAGCUAUCGGAAAAAUUCCAACGGUUUUGUCUUAGUUUCGUCAUUCUGAAUCCAACGAGACCAUCCGCAAGGUCGUAGCUCUUACGAUAGCCGAGAUAUGGCAUUUUUGAUGCCCAUUUUUGGCCUCAAAAACGGACGUCGAAAACGACUUUUUCAGGAUUUUCAAAGUGCUCUCAUUCCCUUAGUUCUGCUCGAAUCCUGUUAUAACCCGGUGUUUUCGUAAUCUAGGUGACCCAAAUAAGACGCUGGUAUACUUAGUUUGAUUUCGAAAAAAAUCAAUUUUUGGUGAAAAAAUUCGAUACGGGGGGGUAUACCCGAAAAAUGAAAAAACCCAAACUUUGAAGGUCGAUAUCUCGGCUUCUAUGGGAGCUAUCGGAAAAAUUCCAACGGUUUUGUCUUAGUUUCGUCAUUCUGAAUCCAACGAGACCAUCCGCAAGGUCGUAGCUCUUACGAUAGCCGAGAUAUGGCAUUUUUGAUGCCCAUUUUUGGCCUCAAAAACGGACGUCGAAAACGACUUUUUCAGGAUUUUCAAAGUGCUCUCAUUCCCUUAGUUCUGCUCGGAUCCUGUUAUAACCCGGUGUUUUCGUAAUCUAGUUGACCCAAAUAAG
Molecule: long non-coding RNA, 2207 nt
Filed under: Anthonomus grandis grandis
Lineage: Eukaryota; Metazoa; Arthropoda; Insecta; Coleoptera; Curculionidae
Description: uncharacterized LOC126741677
Source: RNAcentral